This is a non-coding RNA of Schistosoma haematobium, 45 nucleotides long. The record is from Rfam. NCBI's taxonomy places the organism in Eukaryota, Metazoa, Platyhelminthes, Trematoda, Strigeidida, Schistosomatidae.
AUCUAGCUGAAGCGCCCCAAAUAGAAUGAAACACGCGUUCUGGAU